Molecule: ribosomal RNA, 254 nt
Filed under: uncultured bacterium
Lineage: Bacteria
Description: partial 16S ribosomal RNA
Rfam family: Bacterial small subunit ribosomal RNA
Source: RNAcentral
UACGAAGGGGGCUAGCGUUGCUCGGAAUCACUGGGCGUAAAGGGUGCGUAGGCGGGUCUUUUAAGUCAGGGGUGAAAUCCUGGAGCUCAACUCCAGAACUGCCUUUGAUACUGAGGAUCUUGAGUACGGGAGAGGUGAGUGGAACUGCGAGUGUAGAGGUGAAAUUCGUAGAUAUUCGCAAGAACACCAGUGGCGAAGGCGGCUCACUGGCCCGUUACUGACGCUGAGGCACGAAAGCGUGGGGAGCAAACAGG